GACGAACGCUAGCGGCAGGCUUAACACAUGCAAGUCGAGGGGUAUAGGGAGCUUGCUUCCUAGAGACCGGCGCACGGGUGCGUAACGCGUAUGCAAUCUACCUUUUGCAGAGGGAUAGCCCCAGAGAAAUUUGGAUUAAUACCUCAUAGUAUGUGAGAAUGGCAUCAUUUUCACAUUAAAGUCACAACGGCAAAAGAUGAGCAUGCGUCCCAUUAGCUUGUUGGUAAGGUAACGGCUUACCAAGGCAACGAUGGGUAGGGGUCCUGAGAGGGAGAUCCCCCACACUGGUACUGAGACACGGACCAGACUCCUACGGGAGGCAGCAGUGAGGAAUAUUGGACAAUGGGCGCAAGCCUGAUCCAGCCAUGCCGCGUGCAGGAUGACGGUCCUAUGGAUUGUAAACUGCUUUUGUACAGGAAGAAACACUGGUUCGUGACCAGCUUGACGGUACUGUAAGAAUAAGGAUCGGC
This 470-nucleotide ribosomal RNA is filed under the name uncultured bacterium. RNAcentral describes it as "bacterial SSU rRNA". It matches the Rfam family "Bacterial small subunit ribosomal RNA", at positions 28 to 497 of the family's 1533-position model. The record is from RNAcentral.